CCUACGGGCGGCAGCAGUGGGGGAUAUUGCACAAUGGGGGAAACCCUGAUGCAGCGACGCCGCGUGGGCGAAGAAGUAUUUCGGUAUGGAAAGCCCUAUCAGCAGGGAAGAAGAAAUGACGGUACCUGAGUAAGAAGCACCGGCUAAAUACGUGCCAGCAGCCGCUGUAAUACGUAGGGUGCAAGCGUUAUCCGGAUUUACUGGGUGUAAAGGGAGCGCAGGCGGCACGGCAAGCCUGAUGUGAAAGCCCGCGGCCCAACCGCGGGACUGCAUUGGGAACUACCGGGCUGGAGUGCCGGAGAGGUAGGCGGAAUUCCUAGUGUAGCGGUGAAAUGCGUAGAUAUUAGGAGGAACACCAGUGGCGAAGGCGGCCUACUGGACGGUGACUGACGCUGAGGCUCGAAAGCGUGGGGAGCGAACAGGAUUAGAUACCCCUGUAGUC
This 442-nucleotide ribosomal RNA is filed under the name uncultured bacterium. RNAcentral's name for it is "partial 16S ribosomal RNA". It matches the Rfam family "Bacterial small subunit ribosomal RNA", at positions 338 to 795 of the family's 1533-position model. The record is from RNAcentral.